GUGAGUGGCAUGUUGAGCUCCCUUACUAUUAUUGUGUUAUUAUUAAUGUCUUCUUUUAGAUCCCAGCUACCUUGAUGGAGAGAGAGGACCCACCAAGCACCAGCUAUUCCAGCUACCCUGUAUGAGCUUCCAGACAAGUGAGUGAAGUCACUGUGGACAUUCUAAUAACCCCAGUCAAGUUCGCAACUGAAUGAGUGACUUCAGCUAACAGCCCAUGGAGCAGAUGAAACGUCCAGCUGACACACCAAAUUAGGCUGCCGGACCGUUUGGAUUAUAACACCGAAUACUAUUUUAGUCCCUGCAAAUAAAGUCUAGGAUUAACUGGAUCCUGUAUGAGAAGAACAAUGUGGGAAAGUGGUAAUAAUUAAGUCAAAUAUGUGGAUCCAGAAUGAGGCCUGGUGUUCAGCCAGGGCCAAUGGGGUCAGCAAGGAAGCUAGAAGCAUGAAGGUCAACAGGACCAGGCCAAGGAGGUUGAUAUCUCCCAACCACCUCAGUCCUUGAGGAGUAAAUGGUCAUUCGGCACAACUGCCAAAGAGGAGAAACAAAUCCACUAGAGAGAGGUUAUAAGUAUCUAGUAAACAUGUGAAACACAUGAAACUCACUAGACAUUAACAGCAUACCAUGUUAUGCCUUCCAAAGUAGCUGGGAUAUUUUUUAGAAAAAGAUAAAUGUUCAAUAGGGGUAUGCUGACAUGGGCAACCACAUACAUUACUGACAUAUGGGUAAAUAUGAAUAAUCUGCUAAGAAAGCAAUUUGGCAAUGUUUGAAAAAGGUUAAAUGUGAUUUUUCUCUCACUCUUAAUUCUACCUCAAGAAAUACAUCCUAAACAAUAUAUUUAAAUACAAAUAGCGAGGAAGUCAAAUGAGCAUCAGAAGAGAGAUGGAGAAGUAAAUUCUGGAGUGUUCAUAAAAUGGAAUUUUUUUUGUAGUCAAUAAAAAGAAUUCCACCAGUACAAAAACACACAUUAAUAAAGA
Molecule: long non-coding RNA, 974 nt
Filed under: Equus caballus (horse)
Lineage: Eukaryota; Metazoa; Chordata; Mammalia; Perissodactyla; Equidae
Description: lncRNA (ENSECAG00000050938.1)
Source: RNAcentral